GGAGGGUUAUGGAGGGUCAAAAAGCAUCUGUUUGAUUGACAGGAAAUCUAUGCGUUGAUUAUUGGUGUUUGAUUUGUUUAAUGCAUGGCAGCAUUGCCUCAAGAGACUGAAUAGUCAAAUCUUGGCUAGGUCACAGAUCUUUCACUUGGCCGGGUUGGCUUCUAGUGUGGUGUUCCCUUGUCCCCAGAUACAAUCUCACUUCUACUUGGUAGUCCAAGUUGUGGUUUACUAGUGUGUCUUUCGCGAGUCACGACCAAAUUGAACCACUGUGUACAAUAUGAUUGAGGUGUUUUCUGUGUAAGUGCCGGUCUAGACGUGAGAAUAUUCCGGGCAGAUGCAUGAGCAAAGUCAAUGUAGUUAUACAUUUGUCAAACAUAGGAGACUCGACAGGGUGUGAACAAGGUAUAGGAUCAUUGCCCAAUAAAACUAGCUCCUUACAUUAUACAUUUAUAC
This 453-nucleotide long non-coding RNA is filed under the name Setaria viridis. Its description in RNAcentral is "long non-coding RNA (SVIR_LNC004933)". Lineage: Eukaryota; Viridiplantae; Streptophyta; Magnoliopsida; Poales; Poaceae. The record is from RNAcentral.